CGGAACUGAAAGUCAAGAACAUGAAUUUUGGAAGGAGCAUUACACAAAUAUGAAGGCGGGCUGGAACCUCUCGGGGUUACAGCCUUGCUGAAUUAUUCACCCUUGUCUUUUGCGUACUUCUUGUUUCCUUGGUGGGUUCGCCCACCACUAGGACAAACAUAAACCUUUUGUAAUUGCAAUCAGCGUCAGUAACAAAUUAAUAAUUACAACUUUCAACAACGGAUCUCUUGGUUCUGGCAUCGAUGAAGAACGCAGCGAAAUGCGAUAAGUAGUGUGAAUUGCAGAAUUCAGUGAAUCAUCGAAUCUUUGAACGCACAUUGCGCCCUUUGGUAUUCCAAAGGGCAUGCCUGUUCGAGCGUCAUUUGUACCCUCAAGCUUUGCUUGGUGUUGGGCGUCUUGUCUCUAGCUUUGCUGGAGACUCGCCUUAAAGUAAUUGGCAGCCGGCCUACUGGUUUCGGAGCGCAGCACAAGUCGCACUCUCUAUCAGCAAAGGUCUAGCAUCCAUUAAGCCUUUUUUUCAACUUUUGACCUCGGAUCAGGUAGGGAUACCCGCUGA
This 556-nucleotide ribosomal RNA is filed under the name Alternaria tenuissima. RNAcentral describes it as "eukaryotic LSU rRNA". The stretch from base 208 to 361 matches the Rfam family "5.8S ribosomal RNA". Lineage: Eukaryota; Fungi; Ascomycota; Dothideomycetes; Pleosporales; Pleosporaceae. The record is from RNAcentral.